GCACUUUUUUUCUUUUUUGCUUUUUUUUUGUUUUUUUGACAUUCGACGCCUUGUUUACGUUCAUCACCAAACCAGCGUGCGUUUGAAUCCGAAAAAGUGCAAUGAACAAAUGAGCAGCCCCGCUGUGGCUAACAACGUGUCAAUAGGGGCCGAAAACGCCGGCUAUCUCUGAUUCUGAAACGAGUGGAAAAGGCCCGGAUCCGGCUUCCACCGAUAGCCGGUCACUGUCGGCUUAGACUAUUGGUUAAAGGACAAAAGGACGGAGACGAUCGGAGUGUGAUGGACAAUCACAUCAGCGCUAUAUGCUCAGUGCAUCCAAAGGAGGGUGUUGUCGCGUGUCCGACCAGAGAUCCGGCGAAGGUGAACCCUCUUCGCUUGUUCCGAACACGGAGCAGCAAGGAGAAGGAGUGGGUUCUUCUGCCCGAAUAAAGGCAGCUCCAGCGCGCUUUGUUCAUCAUAUAAGAACGCUGGCUCGGCAGAUCGUCUGCCAAUCGCAAGGCGCAUCCAAAGGAAGAGUGAUAAGGAAGAGUUUGCAAAACACAGCUAGGCAAAAUCUAUAAGGCAUCUUAAAACCACCAAUGUAGAACAAUCAGAGCACUGAAAAACUGGAAAACUUUAACUUUCUUUACGGAUUUCUUACUUCUCAAAGCGAAUACAGCGUCUCCAACGCAACCAAAACAUA
Molecule: long non-coding RNA, 682 nt
Organism: Anopheles aquasalis
Lineage: Eukaryota; Metazoa; Arthropoda; Insecta; Diptera; Culicidae
Source: RefSeq, a predicted model, not a curated record